UAAGGAAUAUUGGUCAAUGGACGCAAGUCUGAACCAGCCAUGCCGCGUGGAGGAUGAAGGUCCUCUGGAUUGUAAACUUCUUUUAUCUGGGACGAAACACUCCUAUUCUUAGGGGCCUGACGGUACCAGAUGAAUAAGCACCGGCUAACUCCGUGCCAGCAGCCGCGGUAAUACGGAGGGUGCAAGCGUUAUCCGGAUUCACUGGGUUUAAAGGGUGCGUAGGUGGGUAUGUAAGUCAGUGGUGAAAUCCCCGAGCUUAACUUGGGAACUGCCGUUGAUACUAUAUAUCUUGAAUGCCGUAGAGGUAAGCGGAAUAUGUCAUGUAGCGGUGAAAUGCUUAGAGAUGACAUAGAACACCAAUUGCGAAGGCAGCUUACUAUGCGGUGAUUGACACUGAUGCACGAAAGCGUGGGUAGCAAACA
Molecule: ribosomal RNA, 422 nt
Filed under: uncultured bacterium
Lineage: Bacteria
Description: bacterial SSU rRNA
Rfam family: Bacterial small subunit ribosomal RNA
Source: RNAcentral